GCUGCUGUCACUGACUGAGCAGCCGAUCUUCUGCGAUGGGCACAACUCCAGCUGUCCACCCUCCUUGUCAGCUCUCUGCAGCAUCUCCUUCAGGGCGGCCAUGGAGGAUUUCCCUGUCUUAGGUUUCACCCAUCUUCUUAUCAAUUCCACCCAGGCUCCCCCUGUACUUCCCGAAGAGAAGCGUAACCAAGCAGGAGUGAAACUGAAUUCCACUUUUGGACUAUACUCGAUAUUUUACGGAUGCUGGAUCAUUUUUAAGACUCUUCUUUUUUCAAAUUAAUACCAUGUUUCAUUUUCUGUCCAUUUCAAAAUCAACAUGAAUUAUGAACUACUUUCUGAGUGGUUUUGUUAUCCACCGCAUGGCUGCCACAGGACCCCCUUUUUUGUUUUUUACAACUACCUAAACACUGACAGCAAGAAGACUCCCUCAUGAGGCUCAACAUGAAAUUUCAUUUCAUUUAAACAAGUUUUUCAUUCUUUCUUAAUAUUUUUGCCCUGACAUUGGAAAAGAACACAAUCUAACAAGCUACCCUUAAAAUAUUACAUAAUUAAUCAUUAAUAUUUAGGUAGAAAAGAAUAAAAUGGCACAUUUAAAUGUUUGUGCUCUGAAAAUGUGGACAUUACUUGGAAGAUAUGACUAUGGUACUUUUAUACAAUUAAAUUUCUUACACCAUGUCAUUUUUUCUGUUUCUGCAAAGAUUGUGUCCACCUUACUUAUUGUGUUAUUUUUCAUCUUUGAUGUUAUUGUAAAAAAUAUACAUACCAGACCCUUGUAAUAAAUUUCGUCGGUUCUCCUAA
Molecule: long non-coding RNA, 798 nt
Organism: Xiphophorus hellerii (green swordtail)
Lineage: Eukaryota; Metazoa; Chordata; Actinopteri; Cyprinodontiformes; Poeciliidae
Exons: 2
Source: RefSeq, a predicted model, not a curated record